UACGUAGGGGGCAAGCGUUAUCCGGAUUUACUGGGUGUAAAGGGGGCGCAGACGGCGAUGCAAGCCAGGAGUGAAAGCCCGGGGCCUAACCCCGGGACUGCUCUUGGAACUGCGUGGCUGGAGUGCAGGAGGGGCAGGCGGAAUUCCUGGUGUAGCGGUGAAAUGCGUAGAUAUCAGGAGGAACACCGGUGGCGAAGGCGGCCUGCUGGACUGCAACUGACGUUGAGGCCCGAAAGCGUGGGGAGCAAACAGG
RNAcentral lists this ribosomal RNA (253 nucleotides) under uncultured bacterium. Its description in RNAcentral is "partial 16S ribosomal RNA". It matches the Rfam family "Bacterial small subunit ribosomal RNA", at positions 524 to 776 of the family's 1533-position model. The record is from RNAcentral.